Molecule: ribosomal RNA, 253 nt
Filed under: uncultured bacterium
Lineage: Bacteria
Description: partial 16S ribosomal RNA
Rfam family: Bacterial small subunit ribosomal RNA
Source: RNAcentral
GACAGAGGGUGCAAACGUUGUUCGGAAUUACUGGGCGUAAAGCGCGUGUAGGCGGCUCUGCAAGUCGGGUGUGAAAUCCCAUGGCUCAACUAUGGAAGUGCACUCGAAACUGCAGGGCUAGAGUCCUGGAGAGGAAGGUGGAAUGCUUGGUGUAGAGGUGAAAUUCGUAGAUAUCUGGAGGAACACCGGUGGCGAAGGCGGCAUCCUGGACCGACACUGACGCUGAGGAGCGAAAGCCAGGGGAGCAAACGGG